Musa acuminata AAA Group (dessert banana) is the source of this 512-nucleotide long non-coding RNA. RefSeq lists it as uncharacterized. The transcript is spliced from 3 exons. NCBI's taxonomy places the organism in Eukaryota, Viridiplantae, Streptophyta, Magnoliopsida, Zingiberales, Musaceae. The record is from RefSeq and is a predicted model, not a curated record.
GAGAGAGACGGGCGGUUAAGGUGGAAGGCACCCACCGGACUCCAGAGAGAGAGAGAGAGAGAGAGAGAGAGAGAGAGAGAUGGAGAAGAAUCCACCGGAAUCCAAGCUCGCUGCCCCCGGCGUCAGGGAAUGGCCCAAAAAAGCAAUGCCCGGAAGACAUCAUGGAUUUUGAGUGGAGGGAAGACACUCGCAGGGCGAACGACUUCUUUCGUUGUCAUGACGCAGAAGAAUGUGGUCGAUGGUGCUGACUGGUUAUUUGGGUGAAAUUGGUCGGUGACACACUAACCCUGCAACACGAAUGGUCGCAUGAUUGUGCUAUGGGGAUCUCCUCCAAGCAAAUUCCCAUGGACGAGGGAGGGCAAGGUGAAGGUGUACCCCCGAGGGGCAUGGAGAUGAGUCUGUGGAGAUUGGGGCAGGUGACCCCUGGUGGAGUUUUCCAUGCCCUUGGGAUGUCUUAGAGAGAGAGGGCAAGAGUAACACUGAUGAAUCCUUGUUGUUGUUUCAUUUGAGCU